GACGAACGCUGACGGUGUGCUUUAGACAUGCAAGUCGAACGAGAAAGCCCUUCGGGUUAGUAAGUGGCGAACGGGUGAGUAACACGUGGGCAAUCUGCCCCUCCGCAGGGGGACAACCGGAGGAAACUCCGGCUAAUACCCCGUAACGUUCAAAGGGAGGCAUCUCUCUUCGAAGAAAGGUAGCUUCGGCCAUCCGGCGAGGGAUGAGCCCACGGUGCAUUAGCUAGUUGGUGGGGUAACGGCCUACCAAGGCGACGAUGCAUAGCUGGUCUGAGAGGAUGAUCAGCCACACUGGGACUGAGACACGGCCCAGACUCCUACGGGAGGCAGCAGUCGGGAAUCUUGCGCAAUGGGCGAAAGCCUGACGCAGCAACACCGUGUGUGUGAGGAAGGCCCUCGGGUCGUAAAGCACUGUUGGUGGGGACGAAGGGCGAAGGGUUAAUGCCCCCUAGCUUGACGGUACCCUUCGAGGAAGCCCCGGCUAACUACGUGCCAGCCGCCGCCG
RNAcentral lists this ribosomal RNA (505 nucleotides) under uncultured bacterium. RNAcentral's name for it is "bacterial SSU rRNA". It matches the Rfam family "Bacterial small subunit ribosomal RNA", at positions 28 to 520 of the family's 1533-position model. The record is from RNAcentral.